GCGGGUGUAGCUCAAUUGGUAGAGCGUCAGCUUGCCAUGCUGAAGGUCGCCGGUUCGAGCCCGGUCACCCGCUC
RNAcentral lists this transfer RNA (74 nucleotides) under Alienimonas californiensis. RNAcentral describes it as "Planctomycetes bacterium CA12 tRNA-Gly". It matches the Rfam family "tRNA". From Rfam's summary of the family: Transfer RNA (tRNA) molecules are approximately 80 nucleotides in length. Their secondary structure includes four short double-helical elements and three loops (D, anti-codon, and T loops). Further hydrogen bonds mediate the characteristic L-shaped molecular structure. tRNAs have two regions of fundamental functional importance: the anti-codon, which is responsible for specific mRNA codon recognition, and the 3' end, to which the tRNAs corresponding amino acid is attached (by aminoacyl-tRNA synthetases). tRNAs cope with the degeneracy of the genetic code in two manners: having more than one tRNA (with a specific anti-codon) for a particular amino acid; and 'wobble' base-pairing, i.e. permitting non-standard base-pairing at the 3rd anti-codon position. The record is from RNAcentral. Lineage: Bacteria; Pseudomonadati; Planctomycetota; Planctomycetia; Planctomycetales; Planctomycetaceae.